Molecule: RNA transcript, 1926 nt
Organism: Schistocerca americana (American grasshopper)
Lineage: Eukaryota; Metazoa; Arthropoda; Insecta; Orthoptera; Acrididae
Gene name: RNA-binding protein 1-like
Exons: 3
Source: RefSeq, a predicted model, not a curated record
GUUGUUUGUGUGAAGCGAAUUCUAUCUGUGUCGAAAGGUGUUGGGUAAAUGGCGUCUCGUGAGUGAUUGUAAAGGGGUAUUUUUGAAAUUUUAGUCUCCCGAGUAAGUGGUGGUAAAUUUAAAGAGUAAAUCCACCGAAUUUAUAAUACACCAGGGAAAACAAUCGGCAAUAUGUCUCGCUACAGAGAUUGGGAUUUGUCAUGCAAAGUGUUUGUGGGAAAUCUGGGAAGUAGCGCUUCCAAAUAUGAAAUUGAAUCCGCUUUCAGUAAGUAUGGGCGUCUUAGAGAUGUUUGGCUAGCAAGAAACCCACCUGGGUUUGCCUUUGUGCAGUUUGAAGACCCGAGAGACGCUGAAGAUGCUGUUCGGGGUCUCGACGGUAUUAGAAUGUGUGGCUCCCGCGUAAGGGUGGAGAUGUCAACAGGGAGAAGCCGAAGAAGUGCCGGUGGUGAUCGUCGUGGUCGUUCAAGAUCACGAACACCACGACGUCGUUCGUACAGCCGAUCCAGAUCCCGAAGUGCAUCACCGAGACGCUCUCGUGGAGAUUCACGAGACAGAAGAUAAACUAACAAAAAAAAAAAAAAAAUCAGUGAGCUGUAUCUGCAGGGAGUGCGCAAGAAUAUCACUUGGUCACACAUGGAAUAACAAAAUUCAUUCCAUGAUUCACAGUAGUUAGGCACAUGAUGUAAGCAGUGCGUCUGUUCACACGUGACAACUUCCACUGCUUCCUGCUCUGAAGGUUGAUCAAACUGCCAGGAUGAAGAGGCUUCGACAUACAUCUCCAACAGAAAAAGUGGACAACCCAUAGUAGUUGCUUUUACCAGGAGGCAUGUGUCGUUCACUGAAAGCAAAAAUCUUAUACAACAUUGUCAAACUUCAAUUUCUCAGAGCUUUGAAUACUAGGAAACUAACAGGCUGCACCAUGUGGCUCCUGUGGUGGCCCAUUCAACAAUAUUCCUCACAGUUUUGUAUGCAUCAUCGCAUCUCAGUUCAGAAUGUACACUUCCUCAGUUUACUCCAUAUAUGCUUUCUGGCAUCUCAUGAAGUAUGACUGUUACUGUAAAUGCAUGCUAAUACACAUUCCACAGCACUUGUUUUUUUGCCCAACAUAGUUGCCCCCACUCCUGUGUUCAAGUACUCAGGAGAUGAAGAUUUGCAAUGUUCUAAAUGUAAUUUGGUUUUCAGGUGUUAAAAGUUUGAUAUAUGCAUAUAUAUUGAUUUAUGCUCACCGACAUUAAAAUAAUUAAUGCAUAGUUAUGAAGCACAAACUUCUUUCUUCUUGGGGAAUGGUUUACUUUGAUUUUUGUGUUCACAAAGAAGUGCCAUUGUCUGUCUAAUAAUGAAAGUAUAAAGAAGUUGGUACAUUGUAAUACCAGCAACCCAGUAAAUGUUAAUUAAACUGAGUGUCUAAGGAUAAUUGUUCAUGGUUAUUGUUUCAGUGAAGUUCUUUUCAUGAAUAUGUAUGCCAAUUUUGUAUCCCACUAGCUGUGUAAUAAGUAGGUAGUACUGUUGCUGUUACUAAGUAAUAGUAUACAAAAUCAAUACAGUGUCUCUAGGUUAUAUAAAAGUGUUUAUUAAUAAUAUACUGGGCUAUUCACUGCAAAACUUAAUUGCAUCUCUACCAUCAGGGAUUAAUUUUCAGGGAUGGACAUGAAAUUACUAUAUUUACUGUCUGCUGAAGCCGUGUUUGUUCUGUUGCUUUUAAAGUGUGACUUUGUUCUUCAUGGAACAGAAUUGUUAUAAUUUCUGAUUUCUGUGCUCAUAUCUGGGAUGCAGAAUGUCUCUUCCACCUGGCACCCUGUUUGAUCCAUUUAUAAUUUCUCUUAAUUGUGAAAAGUCUUUAUACUAAGUAUCUGUAACUUGUUUGAAAUCCAUGUCAAAGUUUCGAAAAUAAAGAUUGAACGAAAAGAUUUAUUGGAUCUUCUUAAA